GAUGAAGAACGUAGCGAAAUGCGAUACGUAGUGUGAAUUGCAGAAUUCAGUUAAUCAUCGAAUCUUUGAACGCACAUUGCACCUCUCGGUAUUCCGGGAGGUAUGCCUGUUCGAGCGUCAUUUGUACCCUCAAGCUCUGCUUGGUGUUGGGUGUUUGUUCCGCCUCUGUGUGUGAACUCGCCUCAAAACAAUUGGCAGCCGGCGUACUUGUUUCGGAGCGCAGCACUUUUUGCGAUCCAGAUCAACGUACAGCGGCAUCCAAGAAGCCUUAUUUAACGCUCUUGACCUCGGAUCAGGUAGGGAUACCCGCUGAACUUAAGCAUAUCAAUAAGCGGAGGA
This 339-nucleotide unclassified non-coding RNA is filed under the name soil metagenome. Its description in RNAcentral is "partial contains 5.8S ribosomal RNA, internal transcribed spacer 2, and large subunit ribosomal RNA". The stretch from base 1 to 120 matches the Rfam family "5.8S ribosomal RNA", at positions 35 to 154 of the family's 154-position model. The record is from RNAcentral.